Molecule: non-coding RNA, 24 nt
Filed under: Arabidopsis thaliana (thale cress)
Lineage: Eukaryota; Viridiplantae; Streptophyta; Magnoliopsida; Brassicales; Brassicaceae
Source: RNAcentral
UCUGGCUUUUUGUGGUGUUCACCA